GUUCCAAAACCAGAAUCACUGCCUACAGUUCUAUAAGCGCUUGAGUCUUCAACAUUUAGUAAGUAGGGGACCUGCAUUCCACCAGAUCCAGCAGACAAAGCAGCAUCUCCAGGGUAGUCAUUGUUAAGGAAGUCAAGAUUCCCCGUCGAGUGAUCAUUGUUAACAAUAGGUGUCGCAAACGCCUCUUCCACUGUAGUUGCAAUAGAAUUAAUCACUCUCACUGGUGCAGUCUGCACAGAAUCUCCCCACAGCACCUCGGGUUCAAAUAAAUCUGUCCCAACCUGGGAUAAAAGAACAUCAGCAGAAGCUCUUGUAUACAAGUAUACCAACAAAGUAUAUAGUUGUUUUGCUACAAUUCUGCAUCAAAUAUUAUAUGAUACCAGUAUGGUAUACAAGUAUACCAACAGAGUAUAUAGUUUUUUUUUUGCUACUCAUCUGCACCUACCUAUAACUAUACUACUACGUACGAUGCUAAAUUAAUAUAGUGUGUUGUAAUUGAUAUUUUGUUCUUUGGGUUUACAUGACAAAUUCUAUUCCUUGCAUAUGCAAUUGUUGAUUCGGAAAAUGAUGCAUAGAAAACAGUUAAAUUUUCAAGUAACUGAUGAUGUCUUGAGAUUACUUGCAAUUGCACGAAAAAGAAAGACACCUACAGAGCUCCACUUACUGGCUCUUGCAUAACUUGUGCCUUCGACUCACUACACAAUCCAAAGUCCUUAACUGGCGACGUUGUUAUAGUGUUGAUACUGUUUGAUGCAAACUGGACUGUCCUCAAUUCCAGUCCAGAAUCUUCAUAGGAAAGCUCAUCAGAGCUGUCAAGAACUGAGUUGAAAUACUCAUCAAUAUCAAAGGCAUCUGUUCCAUUCUGAAACUGGACAUCCUUUUGAUCAUGGCUCAACUCAUUGAUCACAGUACUCAUCAAUAUCAAAGGCAUUUGUUCCAUUCUGAAACUGGACAUCCUUUUGAUCAUGGCUCAACUCAUUGAUCACAGGAGCAUGUAAGUACGAGGAUCCAAACUCCACCUGCAACUGUGCAUGCAACAGGGAGCAGAUCUUCCAAUCAAGAUGCUGUGGUGAAGGGUCACAAAAGAUUUCCAAUAAUUUCUCUAACUCGGGAUCCGACUAUAAU
RNAcentral lists this long non-coding RNA (1125 nucleotides) under Nicotiana benthamiana. Its description in RNAcentral is "long non-coding RNA (NBEN_LNC034882)". Lineage: Eukaryota; Viridiplantae; Streptophyta; Magnoliopsida; Solanales; Solanaceae. The record is from RNAcentral.